UCGAAAACAUCCAUAUUGUCAUGUCUCUUCGAAUUAGGUUGAAUCGAAACUGCCAACACUGUGAGUUGAUUCUAGUUUGUUUCUUCAUAAUUUGGAGAGAAAAUGGCGACAUAGAUGUUUUCGG
Molecule: microRNA precursor, 124 nt
Filed under: Picea abies (Norway spruce)
Lineage: Eukaryota; Viridiplantae; Streptophyta; Pinopsida; Pinales; Pinaceae
Description: miR1312b stem-loop (pab-MIR1312b)
Source: miRBase by way of RNAcentral